Molecule: ribosomal RNA, 447 nt
Filed under: Triticum aestivum (bread wheat)
Lineage: Eukaryota; Viridiplantae; Streptophyta; Magnoliopsida; Poales; Poaceae
Description: partial small subunit ribosomal RNA
Source: RNAcentral
AUGCCAGGGCGGUGUCGUCUCCCGCUCCGGAGCCGAGGAGGGCCGGCGGCAGCAGCAGCAGCAAGUGGCGCCGCGGUGAUCAUCGGGUACAUCGGCGAGGCACGGGCGGCUCUCGCGGCCGCGGCGCCGCGGGACGGCGACGGAGGGGAUGACUCGGCGGCGGCGGCCGCGCUCGGGCUGGUCGCCGCGGUGCUGGAGGUGUCGCCACGCAUGGAGGCCGCGCUGGAGCUCCGGGCGCGCGCGCUGCUCGCGCUCCGCCGCUACCGGAUGCUGCGGAAGCAUCAGAACGACAUCGUAUUUGGUGGAGCGACUCUUUCAUUUCCACGAACCGUUCAACGAAUCAGGGAGGAAGGCAGGCCAUGGGCAAAGACGGGACUAAUAAAGGGUGAUGUAAAAGGGUUUGAGGCCGCGGACACCACGUGGGCUGAUGAGGAGUGCUUCACCUAG